This is a non-coding RNA of Pimephales promelas (fathead minnow), 900 nucleotides long. NCBI's taxonomy places the organism in Eukaryota, Metazoa, Chordata, Actinopteri, Cypriniformes, Leuciscidae. The record is from RefSeq and is a predicted model, not a curated record.
UUCUUCUUAAAUUUAGUAAGAAAAUGUUUAACAGGAUUUUUUAGGGGAAAUAGGCCCUUUUCACGUGACGGCACGCAACUUGCGUUCUAACUCAAAGCAGGGUAUGUUUACUUCCGCCAGCAUAGUGGAACGCUACCAAAGAGUAUUGUACGCUAUGGAGUUUACCCAAACCUUCAACUUUUCCACUUACAACACGUUCCAAACUUUACAAAGGAUACAAAUUCUUCAUUGAGUAGUAACGUUACCUGUUUGCGUAAGAAGACCUGUUAAAAAAAACGCUGAACGAAGGACAGUCUACUGUCAAGAAGAGAAGGCGACUUUCACAGCUCAAAAUAAAACGAGAAUCAACAUCGGCUGAGAUAGUGAGAACUGUGGGAUUUGAAAAUGUUUUAAAGGCGAUGCAGAAAUGGCGUUUUUAUUACUCAAGAGGAAGUGCAGCUUCUCCACAAUGCUGGUCCGAUGAAAGCAGAAGAGCGCUAUCGAUCGGGUUCUGGGGGAGGAUGACCUGCGGUGGAAGUGAGGCUGAGCUGCUGAAGAGUGAAAGGAGAACUGGAAGGGUUCUUAGGACCUCUGAGGGCAGAUGAGGAGUAUGGUUAUCAUGGCAGGGAUGUAUUCAAGCUAUGCAGGUGAACAUUUGGCUAUCACUGACCGAAUGAAAGUCAUGACAUUAUCUAGUCCUGCCUCCAUUAUUUUGCAACAAGGCCUGAUGACAUAAAGUUCAAGAUUAUAUCAGAUUAAAAACUCAAACUUGGCAUGUCCAGCAACUGUCACCAACAAAAACAAAAUGUCAACCAGAGAAAAACAAGUUGACACACAAGACUGAAAUAAUGCUGUAAACAAUAAAUAACAUGCAAAACUACACUCCACUGUAUAGGCUAAACUGACAACAAAAAUAAACAA